GGGAAUUGGAUUUCGUUUCUGGUGGCGAUUCGAAGGAGAUGACUUAGGUGAAGUAAGAAGGAAGCAUGCAUCUUUAUUUCUCGGAUUAAUUCACUGGGUUCUGUAUUGGUCUAGUGGGGUGAAAAAGCAACUGUAUGUAUUGGGUUUUACCGAUGCAGGAGUAUGGCAGAGAGGUGAAUUGGAAAAUGAAGCUUGAGCAGAGGGAAUGCAAGAACAACGAGCAGAUGAAGGAGUGAGGUUUCGGAGGAGCAGCUUAUGGCGCGG
RNAcentral lists this unclassified non-coding RNA (264 nucleotides) under Hevea brasiliensis (rubber tree). The record is from RNAcentral. Lineage: Eukaryota; Viridiplantae; Streptophyta; Magnoliopsida; Malpighiales; Euphorbiaceae.